RNAcentral lists this ribosomal RNA (268 nucleotides) under uncultured Glomus. RNAcentral describes it as "partial small subunit ribosomal RNA". It matches the Rfam family "Eukaryotic small subunit ribosomal RNA", at positions 605 to 877 of the family's 1831-position model. Lineage: Eukaryota; Fungi; Glomeromycota; Glomeromycetes; Glomerales; Glomeraceae. The record is from RNAcentral.
UAAAGUUGUUGCAGUUAAAAAUCUCGUAGUUGAAUUUCGGGAUUAGUAGGUCGGUCGUGGCUCUGGUAUGUACUGGCUUUACUGGUUCCUCCUUCUUGAAGAACUGUAAUGUCAUUAAUUUGGUGUUGCAGGGAAACAGGACUGUUACUUUGAAAAAAUUAGAGUGUUUAAAACAGGCUAACGCAUGAAUACCUUAGCAGUGAAUAAUGAAAUUGGACGGUUGAGCCGAUUUUGUUGGUUACUAUGAUUGACGUAAUGAUUAAUAGGG